This 498-nucleotide ribosomal RNA is filed under the name uncultured bacterium. RNAcentral's name for it is "bacterial SSU rRNA". It matches the Rfam family "Bacterial small subunit ribosomal RNA", at positions 28 to 525 of the family's 1533-position model. The record is from RNAcentral.
GACGAACGCUAGCGGCAGGCUUAACACAUGCAAGUCGAGGGGUAGAGGAAGCUUGCUUCCUUGAGACCGGCGCACGGUGCGUAACGCGUAUGCAAUCUACCUUAUACAGGGGGAUAGCCCAGAGAAAUUUGGAUUAAUACCCCAUAGUAUAAUUGAAUGGCAUCAUUUGAUUAUUAAAAGUUCCAACGGUAUAAGAUGAGCAUGCGUCCCAUUAGCUAGUUGGUGUGGUAACGGCACACCAAGGCGACGAUGGGUAGGGGUCCUGAGAGGGAGAUCCCCCACACUGGUACUGAGACACGGACCAGACUCCUACGGGAGGCAGCAGUGAGGAAUAUUGGUCAAUAGGCGCAAGCCUGAACCAGCCAUGCCGCGUGCAGGAUGACGGUCCUAUGGAUUGUAAACUGCUUUUGUACAGGAAGAAACACUCCCUCGUGAGGGAGCUUGACGGUACUGUAAGAAUAAGGAUCGGCUAACUCCGUGCCAGCAGCCGCGGUAAUC